GACGAACGCUGGCGGCGUGCUUAACACAUGCAAGUCGAACGGAAAGGCCCUGCUUGUGUGGGGUGCUCGAGUGGCGAACGGGUGAGUAACACGUGAGUAACCUGCCCUUGACUUUGGGAUAACUUCAGGAAACUGGGGCUAAUACCGGAUAGGAGCUCCUGCUGCAUGGUGGGGGUUGGAAAGUUUCGGCGGGUGGGGAUGGACUCGCGGCUUAUGAGCUUGUUGGUGGGGUAGUGGCUUACCAAGGCUUUGACGGGUAGCCGGCCUGAGAGGGUGAACGGCCACAAUGGGACUGAGAGACGGCCCAGACUCCUAUGGUAGGCAGCAGUGGGGAAUAUUGCACAAUGGGCGGAAGCCUGAUGCAGCAACGCCGCGUGCGGGAUGACGGCCUUCGGGUUGUAAACCGCUUUCGCCUGUGACGAAGCGUGAGUGACGGUAAUGGGUAAAGAAGCACCGGCUAACUACGUG
Molecule: ribosomal RNA, 468 nt
Filed under: uncultured bacterium
Lineage: Bacteria
Description: partial 16S ribosomal RNA
Rfam family: Bacterial small subunit ribosomal RNA
Source: RNAcentral